RNAcentral lists this ribosomal RNA (484 nucleotides) under uncultured bacterium. RNAcentral's name for it is "partial 16S ribosomal RNA". It matches the Rfam family "Bacterial small subunit ribosomal RNA", at positions 36 to 507 of the family's 1533-position model. The record is from RNAcentral.
CUUUCCCUCUGGCUUCAGGCCUAACACAUGCAAGUCGAGCGGAUGAAGGGAGCUUGCUCCUGGAUUCAGCGGCGGACGGGUGAGUAAUGCCUAGGAAUCUGCCUGGUAGUGGGGGAUAACGUCCGGAAACGGGCGCUAAUACCGCAUACGUCCUGAGGGAGAAAGUGGGGGAUCUUCGGACCUCACGCUAUCAGAUGAGCCUAGGUCGGAUUAGCUAGUUGGUGGGGUAAAGGCCUACCAAGGCGACGAUCCGUAACUGGUCUGAGAGGAUGAUCAGUCACACUGGAACUGAGACACGGUCCAGACUCCUACGGGAGGCAGCAGUGGGGAAUAUUGGACAAUGGGCGAAAGCCUGAUCCAGCCAUGCCGCGUGUGUGAAGAAGGUCUUCGGAUUGUAAAGCACUUUAAGUUGGGAGGAAGGGCAGUAAGUUAAUACCUUGCUGUUUUGACGUUACCAACAGAAUAAGCACCGGCUAACUUCGUG